GGGGAGCUUGCACAGGUGCUGCAUGGCUGUCGUCAGCUCGUGUCGUGAGAUGUCGGUUAAGUCCGCUAACGAGCGCAACCCUCGCUGUGUGUUAUAUGUGUCACACGGGACUGCCGGUCUUAAGCCGGAGGAAGGUGGGGAUGAUGUCAAGUCAGCAUGGCCUUUAUAUCCUGGGCUACACACACGCUACAAUGGCCAACACAAUAGGUUGCUAAGCCGCGAGGUGGCGCCAAUCCAUAAAGUUGGUCUCAGUUCAGAUUGUAGGCUGCAACCCGCCUGCAUGAAGAUGGAGUUGCUAGUAACCGCAGGUCAGCUAUACUGCGGUGAAUACGUUCCCGGGGCUU
This 344-nucleotide ribosomal RNA is filed under the name uncultured Leptolinea sp. Its description in RNAcentral is "bacterial SSU rRNA". It matches the Rfam family "Bacterial small subunit ribosomal RNA", at positions 1023 to 1382 of the family's 1533-position model. The record is from RNAcentral. Lineage: Bacteria; Bacillati; Chloroflexota; Anaerolineae; Anaerolineales; Anaerolineaceae.